Molecule: ribosomal RNA, 440 nt
Filed under: uncultured bacterium
Lineage: Bacteria
Description: partial 16S ribosomal RNA
Rfam family: Bacterial small subunit ribosomal RNA
Source: RNAcentral
CCUACGGGAGGCAGCAGUGGGGAAUAUUGCACAAUGGGGGAAACCCUGAUGCAGCGACGCCGCGUGAGUGAAGAAGUAAUUCGUUAUGUAAAGCUCUAUCAGCAGGGAAGAAAAUGACGGUACCUGAGUCAGAAGCCCCGGCUAACUACGUGCCAGCAGCCGCGGUAAUACGUAGGGGGCAAGCGUUAUCCGGAUUUACUGGGUGUAAAGGGAGCGUAUACGGCAGUGCAAGUCUGGAGUGAAAGGCGGGGGCUCAACCCCCGGACUGCUCUGGAAACUGUACGGCUGGAGUGCAGGAGAGGUAAGUGGAAUUCCUAGUGUAGCGGUGAAAUGCGUAGAUAUUAGGAGGAACACCAGUGGCGAAGGCGGCUUACUGGACUGUAACUGACGUUGAGGCUCGAAAGCGUGGGGAGCAAACAGGAUUAGAUACCCCAGUAGUC